UGGGCUGCUUAUGGGACAUUGUCUAUCCCC
Molecule: non-coding RNA, 30 nt
Filed under: Macaca fascicularis (crab-eating macaque)
Lineage: Eukaryota; Metazoa; Chordata; Mammalia; Primates; Cercopithecidae
Also listed under: 1 other name
Source: RNAcentral